This 199-nucleotide long non-coding RNA is filed under the name Elaeis guineensis (African oil palm). RNAcentral's name for it is "long non-coding RNA (EGUI_LNC081293)". The record is from RNAcentral. Lineage: Eukaryota; Viridiplantae; Streptophyta; Magnoliopsida; Arecales; Arecaceae.
UGGGUACACUAAUACAAGGAUAUGGGUGCUCAUUAAAGAAUGAGUUUACUGAAUUGACCUAUGAGAGAAUCUCAGAUGGAGUUUUAUUUACAUGUCAAUUGAUAAUUCUUUAGUAGGAGUUAUGUAUGUGAUCCUUAGACCUGAGGUCACCAUGGUACCUUAUGUACUUGGAUUCAUAUUUUGGUUCACUACCUAACUU